GUGGGGAAUAUUGCGCAAUGGGGGAAACCCUGACGCAGCAACGCCGCGUGAGUGAUGAAGGCCUUCGGGUCGUAAAGCUCUGUCAGGUGGGACGAAUUUCUAGCUAUGAAUAAUACCUAGAGGUGACGGUACCACCAGAGGAAGCACCGGCUAACUCCGUGCCAGCAGCCGCGGUAAUACGGAGGGUGCUAGCGUUGUUCGGAAUUAUUGGGCGUAAAGAGCGUGUAGGUGGUCUAAUAAGUCAGACGUGAAAUCCCUUGGCUCAACCAAGGAAGUGCAUCUGAAACUAUUAGACUUGAGUACUGGAGAGGAGAGUAGAAUUCCCAGUGUAGAGGUGAAAUUCGUAGAUAUUGGGAGGAACACCGGUGGCGAAGGCGGCUCUCUGGACAGAUACUGACACUGAGACGCGAAAGCGUGGGGAGCAAACAGGAUUAGAUACCCCGGUAGUCC
This 450-nucleotide ribosomal RNA is filed under the name uncultured bacterium. Its description in RNAcentral is "bacterial SSU rRNA". It matches the Rfam family "Bacterial small subunit ribosomal RNA", at positions 354 to 796 of the family's 1533-position model. The record is from RNAcentral.